GUCAUCAUCAUCAUUAUCAUCAUCAUCAUUAUCUCUAAUAUGAUGAUGAUAAUAAAUAUAACUCUUUCUUCACUAUUAUCACCUUUUAUGUACAUUCUCAGCUUUCUUUGCAAUCAUUGAUACUUAUCCACACCCCCAAUAGCAUUACAUUCCCUUCUGUGGUGUCUUUAUCACCUCCUGACCCGCCCUACUUCAGUUAUACCUUUCCCUUCUCACUUCCCUCUAACACAAUAUAUUUCUCUCCCACAGGUAACUCCUGCCUCCAGCACCACCGCCAUAUACUCGCCUCGCUCUCUCUCUCUCUCUCCCUGCCGGCCAUAUUGACACUCAGGUAACGUGAUAUGACCAGUGCCGGGAAUCUGAUGGCGCGGAAUGUGCUGAGGAUAGUGAAUGGGGGAGAAGGCAUGAUGCUACUCAUGCUGCGGCCUGUCUCCCUCCUGUCCUGUCCAGCUCCGCCUCACGCAGUCCAUGCCCCCGCCUCCCUUCGCGACCCGUCUUGUGUCACAUCAUGCGGCUGUUGCUUGCAAAGGGCGGGCUCGAGCUCCAAAGUUUAUUAGCCUUAGCCCUCGACAUGUCACUUAGCACACACACACACACACACACACACACACACACACACACACACACACACACACGUGCCGGCCUCACCCGCGCACUAAUAAUGGUAUAGUUCAUUCUGCUACUCUUGUUUUUCCGUGGCAGCAAAGAAUCCAGUAUUUGUGAAUUCGUAUUUAUUGUUGAAAUUUAUCGCUUAUUAAACAAUUACGAGCAUAAAUCAAACUGCGUAAUGCGA
Scylla paramamosain (green mud crab) is the source of this 793-nucleotide long non-coding RNA. RefSeq lists it as uncharacterized. Lineage: Eukaryota; Metazoa; Arthropoda; Malacostraca; Decapoda; Portunidae. The record is from RefSeq and is a predicted model, not a curated record. The transcript has 3 exons.